RNAcentral lists this ribosomal RNA (303 nucleotides) under uncultured bacterium. RNAcentral describes it as "partial 16S ribosomal RNA". It matches the Rfam family "Bacterial small subunit ribosomal RNA", at positions 507 to 807 of the family's 1533-position model. The record is from RNAcentral.
AGCAGUAGCCACGGUAAUACAGAGGGUGCGAGCGUUAAUCGGAUUUACUGGGCGUAAAGCGUGCGUAGGCGGCUUCUUAAGUCGGAUGUGAAAUCCCUGAGCUUAACUUAGGAAUUGCAUUCGAUACUGUGAAGCUAGAGUAUGGGAGAGGAUGGUAGAAUUCCAGGUGUAGCGGUGAAAUGCGUAGAGAUCUGGAGGAAUACCGAUGGCGAAGGCAGCCAUCUGGCCUAAUACUGACGCUGAGGUACGAAAGCAUGGGGAGCAAACAGGAUUAGAUACCCCGGUAGUCCCUGUCUCUUAUAC